GAUGAACGCUGGCGGCGUGCCUAAUACAUGCAAGUCGAGCGAACAGACGAGGAGCUUGCUCCUCUGACGUUAGCGGCGGACGGGUGAGUAACACGUGGAUAACCUACCUAUAAGACUGGGAUAACUUCGGGAAACCGGAGCUAAUACCGGAUAAUAUAUUGAACCGCAUGGUUCAAUAGUGAAAGACGGUUUUGCUGUCACUUAUAGAUGGAUCCGCGCCGCAUUAGCUAGUUGGUAAGGUAACGGCUUACCAAGGCAACGAUGCGUAGCCGACCUGAGAGGGUGAUCGGCCACACUGGAACUGAGACACGGUCCAGACUCCUACGGGAGGCAGCAGUAGGGAAUAUUCCGCAAUGGGCGAAAGCUUGACGGAGCAACGCCGCGUGAGUGAUGAAGGUCUUCGGAUCGUAAAACUCUGUUAUUAGGGAAGAAAAAAUGUGUAAGUAACUAUGCACGUCUUGACGGUACCUAAUCAGAAAGCAACGGCUAACUACGUG
This 497-nucleotide ribosomal RNA is filed under the name uncultured bacterium. RNAcentral's name for it is "partial 16S ribosomal RNA". It matches the Rfam family "Bacterial small subunit ribosomal RNA", at positions 28 to 507 of the family's 1533-position model. The record is from RNAcentral.